RNAcentral lists this ribosomal RNA (449 nucleotides) under uncultured bacterium. RNAcentral's name for it is "partial 16S ribosomal RNA". It matches the Rfam family "Bacterial small subunit ribosomal RNA", at positions 338 to 795 of the family's 1533-position model. The record is from RNAcentral.
CCUACGGGGGGCUGCAGUGGGGAAUUUUGGACAAUGGGGGCAACCCUGAUCCAGCCAUUCCGCGUGAGUGAAGAAGGCCUUCGGGUUGUAAAGCUCUUUCGGCAGGAACGAAACGGUGGGAGCUAAUAUCUUCUACUAAUGACGGUACCUGAAGAAGAAGCACCGGCUAACUACGUGCCAGCAGCCGCGGUAAUACGUAGGGUGCGACUGUUAAUCGGAAUUACUCAGCGGGUGACUUGAGCCAGAGGUGAAAUCCCCGGGCUUAACCUGGGAACUGCAUUUGAAACUAGGUCGCUAGAGUGUAGCAGAGGGGGGUAGAAUUCCACGUGUAGCAGUGAAAUGCGUAGAGAUGUGGAGGAAUACCGAUGGCGAAGGCAGCCCCCUGGGUUAACACUGACGCUCAUGCACGAAAGCGUGGGGAGCAAACAGGAUUAGAUACCCCAGUAGUC